ACACGGCCCAGACUCCUACGGGAGGCAGCAGUGGGGGAUAUUGCACAAUGGGCGAAAGCCUGAUGCAGCGACGCCGCGUGAGGGAUGACGGCCUUCGGGUUGUAAACCUCUUUCAGUAGGGAAGAAGCGAAAGUGACGGUACCUGCAGAAGAAGCACCGGCUAACUACGUGCCAGCAGCCGCGGUAAUACGUAGGGUGCGAGCGUUAUCCGGAAUUAUUGGGCGUAAAGAGCUCGUAGGCGGUUUGUCGCGUCUGUCGUGAAAGUCCGGGGCUUAACCCUGGAUCUGCGGUGGGUACGGGCAGACUAGAGUGCAGUAGGGGAGACUGGAAUUCCUGGUGUAGCGGUGGAAUGCGCAGAUAUCAGGAGGAACACCGAUGGCGAAGGCAGGUCUCUGGGCUGUAACUGACGCUGAGGAGCGAAAGCAUGGGGAGCGAACAGGAUUAGAUACCCUGGUAGUCCAUGCCGUAAACGUUGGGCACUAGGUGUGGGGUACUCAUUCCACGGUUUCCGCGCCGCAGCUAACGCAUUAAGUGUCCCU
RNAcentral lists this ribosomal RNA (539 nucleotides) under soil bacterium b2. Its description in RNAcentral is "bacterial SSU rRNA". It matches the Rfam family "Bacterial small subunit ribosomal RNA", at positions 324 to 871 of the family's 1533-position model. The record is from RNAcentral.